Molecule: ribosomal RNA, 253 nt
Filed under: uncultured bacterium
Lineage: Bacteria
Description: partial 16S ribosomal RNA
Rfam family: Bacterial small subunit ribosomal RNA
Source: RNAcentral
UACAGAGGGUGCGAGCGUUGUUCGGAAUUACUGGGCGUAAAGCGUACGUAGGCGGCUUUGUAAGUUAGAGGUGAAAGCCCGGGGCUCAACCCCGGAAUUGCCUUUAAGACUGCAUCGCUAGAAUCCAGGAGAGGUGAGUGGAAUUCCGAGUGUAGAGGUGAAAUUCGUAGAUAUUCGGAAGAACACCAGUGGCGAAGGCGGCUCACUGGACUGGUAUUGACGCUGAGGUGCGAAAGCCAGGGGAGCAAACGGG